RNAcentral lists this long non-coding RNA (2048 nucleotides) under Oncorhynchus kisutch (coho salmon). Its description in RNAcentral is "lncRNA (ENSOKIG00005038786.1)". The record is from RNAcentral. Lineage: Eukaryota; Metazoa; Chordata; Actinopteri; Salmoniformes; Salmonidae.
UGUUACUUGGAGAGAAUUGACUCUGUAGUGUGUACUUACCACUACUUACCCUAACAAAUGUUAUGCAACAAUAGUAUGCACAUGCGCCUCGCAGCACACUUUCUGUGUAUGACAGACCGACCACAUUUUCUGUCAUAUCCAGAGAAAGGGGUGUGACUACUUUAGGGGUGGGACAUGCAAGAGUUAAGAAGACACACAGCUGUGUUAUUUUAUGUUUACACCUGACACAGCAGGACAGCAGCCAUACCUGAAGUAAACUGACAAGAGAUGGCGUAUUCCACCAGCACUCUUGCUGCUGGCUGCUUUGGGAAGAUCUACAGGGAGAAGUACAAUGACACCUGGGCUGCAAUCAAGAAGGUGCCACAACACUUAAUCAAUAGGAGAGACCUGGAGAGAGAGUGUCAAGUAUACAAUAAGGCAAUUCAUCCGAACAUAGUGAAGCUUCUGGGUAAUCCAACACUCAAGGAUUCUAAGUGGAUCAUCCCCAUGGAGUUCAUCUUUGGAGAAGAACUGGAGACAACCAUCUUCAAAUCACAAAAAUCUCAAAUCCAGUUGACUCCAUCUAUAAAGGCCACCAUCAUCACAGGCAUGUGUGAAGGACUACUUUAUCUACACAGCAAAGAUAUUGUCCAUCAGGACCUCAAGCCUGACAACAUCAUGGUAGAGCAUGACACUCACAGAGCUGUGAUCAUUGAUAUGGGACUGGCCAAAUUCUUCUGCAAUGGCCUAAAUUCUGCUAUGGAUAUGGGCAACGAGGCCUACUCUCCCCCUGAGGUCCUGCAGAGGCGGGGCCAGCGAGAUCAGCGCUCGGACGUGUGGGCUAUGGGUAAAAUCAUUGCCGAACUCUGUGCCAGAGUCAGGCUACACACCCCCAGCGUCUGUCCAACUAAGAUCCAGGAGACCCUCAGUCUCCAAGGCCAGCAGUACUGUAACGCUGUCUGUAGGAUGGUGCAGAGAGACCCCACAAUGCGAGCCACCAUGGCUGGAAUCAUGCCGGAGAUACAAAGGGCAGGGGUAGAUGGUGGUGGCGGCAACACCGGUAGGCAGAAAAGAGGACAUCUUCUGACACCCUUUCCUCACACUCAGGUAAAAAAUGCAUUGCCACGUCCUCAAGCUCCUGUACAGCGUUCACCAUCUCCAUCGAGAUUUGAGCGCAGUGCUUUACCAAUGCCUGAGGUCAAGACAGUAGUGCCAGCUCCUGUGCAAGCGCCUUCUCCAUCGAGAUGGGAGCGGGCAGCCUUGCCAAAGACUGAGGUCAAGAACUCACCAUCUUCCCUUUCAAAGAUAGACCAGGGUAAUGCUCUGUUUCCAUCAGGCAUAACUCAACCCAGUCAAGAUGUAAUGAAACAGCUUCUCUACAAAGAGGCAUCGAGGGGUCUCCCAUGCCCACUCCCCAUGACGGGAAAGGUGCGAAUCCGCCGCUAUGAGCAAAGGAAUGGGGAAGUGGAGACUUGGGAGCAAAAGGAGGUGGUGACUGAAGGAGGGAGGAUAGUCAAGUUUGAGGAUGUGAUGUUUAACAACAAGACGUAAAAAGGUUAUUGAGAGGUUGUGAAAUAGUUGGGAGUUGAUUGGACUGUGCUUCUCCAGAGCGUGGGCCACUCCCCUUCCGUCCUUCAAUGUAAAAGUCUGACAUGUUUCUGAAAAAGGUGAAAGACUGUAUUUGGGACAGGGGAUAAACUAAUGGAAUAAUUCUAAUGUCCAGUGAAACUACACUAUGUAACCAUACAUUUACGCAUUUUCUUACUACGGUAGACUAAAUGUAUAUACUGUAUGAAUAUAUAUAUAUCUCAACAACAAUAAAAGUUGUAUUGCACUGUUAAGAAGGAAACCUAAGGUUGAGUAAGGAUUCAUGAAUGAUGUUUGAAGGACUAUAUCACUUUACAGUAUUGCUACGAUAACUAUCUGUGAACGUUUUUGAAAUCUCAUCCCUCUUGCAAAUCAGUUGUAUCUUCAGCUUGAUAUACAUUUGACUGUGAACAUAAUAAAAAAACAUUUGUUUUGUAUCAUCUAAGACAAGAAGAUCUUACAUUUAGCUUACACUUAGGACU